Long non-coding RNA from Sander lucioperca (pikeperch), 789 nucleotides. RefSeq lists it as uncharacterized. The transcript has 4 exons. The record is from RefSeq and is a predicted model, not a curated record. NCBI's taxonomy places the organism in Eukaryota, Metazoa, Chordata, Actinopteri, Perciformes, Percidae.
UAAAGCAGGAAAUCUGAGGAGCACAACGAUACCUUUGCCAAUGUGGCCUCCAUCAGCCUACCAACUAUUGCCCGCCUUUUGAGAAGGCACCAGGUAUCUAUGAAACAUAUUUACCUGGUGCCUUUUGAGAGAAACAACGACCGGGUGAAACAAUUACGGGUGAAUAUGUUCAGAGGGUGAUGGAGCUUGAUGCUGCUGUGAACCAUCACAAGUUUCUCUUUGUUGAUGAAGCGGGCUUCAACCUGGCUAAAACCAGACGCCGUGGGCGGAAUAUCAUUUGCCAACAAGCAACCGUUCAAGUGCAUGAAGAAUGUGGGGGAAAAAUCUCCAUGUGUGCUGCCAUAUCAGAUGAUGGGGUGGUAGGACCGUAGGCCCCUUUUGGGGUCCUACACCACUGCUACUCUCAUUGACUUCCUAAAUAUGAUUGAGCCGGUGUGUCAGGGUGAAGAGGUCGCCUAUGUUAUUGUGUGGGACAAUGUUAGGUUCCACCAUGCAGAGGUGGUUCAGGAAUGAUUUUGGGCUCAUCCCCAUUUCCUGUCCCUAUAUCUGCCCCCAUACUCUCCUUUCCUCAACCCUAUUGAGGAAUUAUUUUCAUCAUGGAGGUGAAAAGUCAACAACCACUAUUUCCAUCAGCAUGUGACCCUCCUUCAGACCAUGGAUGAGGCUUGUGAUGACAUCACUGCUGACCAAUGUCAGGCUUGGAUUCAACAUUCAAGAAGAUUUUUCCCAAGUUGCGUGAACUAUGAAAACAUACAUUGUGAUGUGGACGAGAACUUAUGGCCAAAUCCA